AUAGCGUAUAUUAAAGUUGUUGCAGUUAAAAAGCUCGUAGUUGAAUUUUGGGCCCGACUGGGCGGUCUUGCCUCGUUGUAAGCACUGCUCGCCUCACGGUUCAGGUUGGGCCUUUCCUUCUGGCUAGCCAGCUGCCUUUCACUGGGUGGGCUGGGGAUCCAGGACUUUUACUUUGAAAAAAUUAGAGUGUUCAAAGCAGGCAUUUAUCGCUUGAAUACAUUAGCAUGGAAUAAUAAAAUAGGACUUUGGUUCUAUUUUGUUGGCUUCUAGGACCGAAGUAAUGAUUAAUAGGGAUAGUUGGGGACGUUAGUAUUUAGUUGUCAGAGGUGAAAUUCUUAGAUUUA
RNAcentral lists this ribosomal RNA (344 nucleotides) under Nowakowskiella elegans. Its description in RNAcentral is "SSU rRNA". It matches the Rfam family "Eukaryotic small subunit ribosomal RNA", at positions 594 to 928 of the family's 1831-position model. Lineage: Eukaryota; Fungi; Chytridiomycota; Chytridiomycetes; Cladochytriales; Nowakowskiellaceae. The record is from RNAcentral.